UGUGGACCCGGGCGGGCAUAAGGCGGAAGGUGGCCAACUUGUGUGAUAUAGGGUCUGCCGACCAUGCCGGUAUUGCUGCUGGGGUGUGGGACGGUUUUCGGUGGGCAGCUGUGGUGUGUUCCCCGUUCUCGGUAUGUAUUUGUAUGUCCGAGGGGUGAGGGCUUUCUUUGGAGCUUUGCUCUGGCUUCAGCAAUGGGCCCGGGGUGUUAUCGGAGAGGCUUUCGGGUGGAGUGUGCUCUUCCUGUGACUGUUGGUCCCCAUUCCAAAUUACGCAUGUGUCAUCUGCGUAUCGCUGAUAUGGUUUGGUACUUGGCGUAAAAUGCUGUGGGGCACUUGACUCCUUAUAUCGAAU
RNAcentral lists this long non-coding RNA (352 nucleotides) under Androctonus crassicauda. The record is from RNAcentral. Lineage: Eukaryota; Metazoa; Arthropoda; Arachnida; Scorpiones; Buthidae.